Schistosoma haematobium is the source of this 44-nucleotide non-coding RNA. The record is from Rfam. Lineage: Eukaryota; Metazoa; Platyhelminthes; Trematoda; Strigeidida; Schistosomatidae.
AUUCAGCUGACGAGCCCACAUUGGAUGAGACGUACGUCCUGAAU